RNAcentral lists this long non-coding RNA (3070 nucleotides) under Bemisia tabaci. Its description in RNAcentral is "lncRNA ENSSSA3NGG009928". Lineage: Eukaryota; Metazoa; Arthropoda; Insecta; Hemiptera; Aleyrodidae. The record is from RNAcentral.
GGUAGAUUUGAUGGCAAAGAGAUGUCUUUCGGGAACAGCUUCACUCCAGAUGAAAUCAGGAAGCCUCCUAUUUUUUUAGAUUGGCCGAUCAACGGAACAAAAGCGCUAUAUUGUUUACUUGCGAUAGGUAUAGAUGUUCCAAACAAAAAAAACCAAAGUUGCGAGAUUUUAGGCAUUGGUUUGUCGGUAACAUUCCCGGAACUGACAUAUCAAAGGACGGACGUACCUCCCAUAUAUUGGUGCAGGCGAUUUUCUAGACCAAGGUUCACAUCGGAUUGUAUUUGUAGUAUUCCAACAACCUGGUAGUAGAAGAAUCAAAUUUUACGAAAGAAAACUCACAAAAAUGGUGCCAAUAAAUAGGGCAAGAGGGAACUCGUCGACACUGAAGUUCGCCGAAAAAUAUAGCUUGAGGGAGCCGGUGGCAGCUAACUUCCUCACAGUUGAGACGGAUGUGCCUCAGUCAACGACGGACUACUACGCUCAUACGACGAUUGAAGUGCCCCCAGACUGGGAGGGCAUCAGUAUGAACCCGCAAAUGGUAGGCCUUACCAUCCCCUCCAUCCCAAGUGACGAGGAGUUCGAGAAGGAACUGAAGCUGAGCAGAAGUGAAAGACGAAGAGGGAAGAAGUCGAAGAAGAAGUCGGAGGAAGAGAAAUCAGGACCUUACGCUGAUUAUUAUGAAGAUGAUGAUGAUGAAGAUGAUGAGGGGGAUGAAGACCAAGUUAAGAAAGAGGACGAUGAGAGUGACAAAGGAAAAGACAAUAAAAAAAGUGAACAUGAAAAUAAGACGGAGAUAAAAAGGAAAAGGAAAAUGAAAAUAAAGAUAAAAAGAAAAAGGGAACUGAAGAUGAAAAGAAAAAGGAAAAUAAAGAUAAAAGGAAGAAGGAAAAUAAAGAUAAAAAGGAAAAGAAAAAUAAAGAUAAAAGAAACAGGAAAAUAAAAAGAAAAGGAAAAAUGAAAAUAAAGAUGAAAUGUAAAAAUUUCUUAUUCGAUGGAUUUUAUUUUAGCCCCGCAUUAUCAACGAUUGCCGUGAGAAGUACCUUUACGUCUGUUCAUUAUGACGUUUUACAAAAUGAAACCGUUUUCUUUACUCAAUAUUUAAUGGAAAUCCACAAAAAGUUUCUGGUCCAAGAGGUCGCUCAUAUUUGAGCGUUCCAUACGUACCUAUUCAUCGGUAUGUACGCUUUUGAGUCCGUCUUAUGUAGAACUGGCACUAAACCCGCACCACGCGUGGGAUGGGACCAAUUUUAAUUUGCGGCACAAAAUAGCACAAAAUUAGCCCAAAAUUAUGAUAUAAUUUUUUAUUUAAGAUUCGUAUGUGGGGGGCUGUGGAAAUGGAGCCGCCAAUGGUAGCAAAUGCAUCCAAUGCAUCUAACCACAGAAAAGCACAUACUGUAGUCGCGUCCAUUUAUUUUUUAAUAUAAAUGGAAGAAUUCCGAGAUUCCUGUGCGGCGCCGGGUCCCUUUUUUGAUACUUAAUCGAUUGUUUGCGAUACACGGGACCCGGCCAUAUUCCCUACCACCAUUUUGGAUCGAAUGUGUAUCGAAAAAGUGACCCCGCACACCGGGCUCGGAACUCGUCGAGCAGAACAUGGCGCCAGCUCUCCCACUUAUACAUUACGACUAUAUGUACUCUAUGGCUGUUUGCGGCUUUGGGCUGAAGAAGUCAUGGACCAAGAGCAUAAGGACCCCCAACUCCAGUUAGCGGUGACAUCAGCGCUGCCUGGCAGAGGGUCUAUUGAACUAAACCGACGAUUGGGUUCUCCUGUUCAUGUUUCCAUGCACCACAUAUUUAGGCUUAUCACUCAGUGCUCAUAGAGGUUUCUCGAUCCUCGUAGUCGUCCUGAAGUUCUGAAGAGUUUAGUGGGAAAAGUUUUCCAUUUUCAUUUCAAUCUUCGUCAGUCUUCGGGUAUACAAACCGUUAAUAAUGUGCAGUGCUAAGAAGCCCCCUCCAACGCUUUGACGUUGGAAUUGCUUGUUUUCUCAUUUAACGGUUCUACCCUGAUUCCAACGAUAACUUACAACAAAUCGCAAUAUGUCACAAUUUAUUGCUAUGUAUGAGUGCAUGUCCUUCAAGAGGCAACGUUUAUUACGCAUUAUAGAGUUUUAAGAGAUCGUUAUAUUUGUUCGAUUUUGGCGUGAAAAACGUCUUUGCAAGACAAUGUCAUAUCGUCGGAAAGAGUUUGCAAAACCUCACAUGUGAUAUGCUAAAAAUCCCUCGUUUUCUACAUAUAUUUAAAGUGUAUUCUACCAGAAUUAUUCACAAUUCCACAUCACGUUAUAGAAUUAUACGCACGAAUUAUGAUUUGCUCUUGAAAUUAGUGGUGAACGAGUCUAUUUAAUCAACGUACACGUUCUGAUGAAUCAUCUCCUGAAAAAUUAAUGGAAGUGUUAACUUGAAAAUGUUUAAAAAUAAAAACUAAAAACUAGCCCCCAAGCGACUUUCAGUUUUGGAUCACCGAACAAUUGAAGCCUUAAGUGAAGUAAUUGAUCAAUUAUUAAUUUAAAACACCCAUAAUACAACAAUUUAAAACUGUUCUUUGAUUGUGAGUGGUGGACAAAAAUAUAAAAAUGAAUAUAUUAGGAUUCUACGCCGCAUUUGUUUACUGGACUGGAACAUAUGGAAUGGCGGUAUCGUCGGAUGUACUCAAUCCGAUUCCUGAAUUUGAGCAGAGUUGGCUACUGAAAGAGCGGAUAGUUCCGGAUUUGGUUUCAGUCAUUCCGAGGCAUUCCUAAUAGUAAGUUCUUACUCGAGUAAUCAAGCAAUAUUUGUAUAAUUGGGUAAAAUGAGCAGUAAGUCAGUCUUUUUUACAUGGAUACUUGAAGGAUGUAAUAUCCGUGUCUGAAACUACAAGGGCUUUGGUCUGUGGAAGUAUUCCGUUUAGACAUUUUUUGUUGCAGAGUUUUUUAGCCAAAGUGCGUUAUAAUUUGAGCAUAAAACUGAAAAUCUCAAUAUAGAGGGAAAAAGCUCAUAUGAGCACAAUUUUCCCUCAAAAAGAUUUGCUGUUUGGUGCAACACUGUGCUCAUAUGAGCUUUUUCCUUCUGUAUUGAGAUUUUCAGUUCUAUUCUG